Molecule: ribosomal RNA, 440 nt
Filed under: uncultured bacterium
Lineage: Bacteria
Description: partial 16S ribosomal RNA
Rfam family: Bacterial small subunit ribosomal RNA
Source: RNAcentral
CCUACGGGCGGCUGCAGUGGGGAAUAUUGCACAAUGGGGGAAACCCUGAUGCAGCGACGCCGCGUGAGUGAAGAAGUAAUUCGUUAUGUAAAGCUCUAUCAGCAGGGAAGAAAAUGACGGUACCUGAGUAAGAAGUCCCGGCUAACUACGUGCCAGAAGCCGCGGUAAUACGGAGGGGGCAAGCGUUAUCCGGAUUUUCUGGGUGUAAAGGGAGCGUAGACGGCAGUGCAAGUCUGGAGUGAAAGGCGGGGGCUCAACCCCCGGACUGCUCUUGAAACUGUACGGCUUGAGUGCAGGAGAGGUAAGUGGAAUGCGUGGUGUAGCGGUGAAAUGCGUAGAUAUUAGGAGGAACACCAGUGGCGAAGGCGGCUUACUGGACUGUAACUGACGUUGAGGCUCGAAAGCGUGGGGAGCAAACAGGAUUAGAUACCCCAGUAGUC